UACGAGGGGUGCAAGCGUUGCUCGGAAUUAUUGGGCGUAAAGGGCAAGUAGGUGGUCUCAUUUGUCUGGGGUGAAAGCCUUGAGCUUAACUCAAGAAGUGCCCCGGAAACGGUGAGACUCGAGUACUGGAGAGGGUCGUGGAAUUCCCGGUGUAGCGGUGAAAUGCGUAGAGAUCGGGAGGAACACCAGAGGCGAAGGCGGCGACCUGGACAGUCACUGACACUCAACUGCGAAAGCGUGGGGAGCAAACAGG
This 253-nucleotide ribosomal RNA is filed under the name uncultured bacterium. Its description in RNAcentral is "partial 16S ribosomal RNA". It matches the Rfam family "Bacterial small subunit ribosomal RNA", at positions 524 to 776 of the family's 1533-position model. The record is from RNAcentral.